This 56-nucleotide transfer RNA is filed under the name Eropterus nothus. Its description in RNAcentral is "partial tRNA-Ser". Lineage: Eukaryota; Metazoa; Arthropoda; Insecta; Coleoptera; Lycidae. The record is from RNAcentral.
AAAGAAAUGUUUAAUAAAAAGCUUCUAACUUUUUUAAAAGCAAAAAAUUUGUUUAU